This 468-nucleotide ribosomal RNA is filed under the name uncultured bacterium. RNAcentral describes it as "partial 16S ribosomal RNA". It matches the Rfam family "Bacterial small subunit ribosomal RNA", at positions 28 to 507 of the family's 1533-position model. The record is from RNAcentral.
GACGAACGCUGGCGGCGUGCUUAACACAUGCAAGUCGAACGGAAAGGCCCUGCUUUUGUGGGGUGCUCGAGUGGCGAACGGGUGAGUAACACGUGAGUAACCUGCCCUUGACUUUGGGAUAACUUCAGGAAACUGGGGCUAAUACCGGAUAGGAGCUCCUGCUGCAUGGUGGGGGUUGGAAAGUUUCGGCGGUUGGGGAUGGACUCGCGGCUUAUCAGCUUGUUGGUGGGGUAGUGGCUUACCAAGGCUUUGACGGGUAGCCGGCCUGGGAGGGUGACCGGCCACAUUGGGACUGAGAUACGGCCCAGACUCCUACGGGAGGCAGAAGUGGGGAAUAUUGCACAAUGGGCUGAAGCCUGAUGCAGCAACGCCGCGUGCGGGAUGACGGCCUUCGGGUUGUAAACCGCUUUCGCCUGUGACGAAGCGUGAGUGACGGUAAUGGGUAAAGAAGCACCGGCUAACUACGUG